RNAcentral lists this small RNA (151 nucleotides) under pig gut metagenome. RNAcentral's name for it is "Clostridiales-1 RNA". It matches the Rfam family "Clostridiales-1 RNA". The record is from RNAcentral.
GAUACCAGGGUCCAAAAGUCAUACUUUUCAUGCUCGCAUGAAAAAGUAUGACCUUGGGACCCGCAAAACAUGAGAAAGUAACUCGCUAGGGCGGAUUUCGAAUGUUUUCAGGAUUGCGGAAGCGCGCAGUGCGUAGCAAUCCGUUGGUAUC